This 701-nucleotide ribosomal RNA is filed under the name Cupriavidus sp. B1_3_B13. RNAcentral describes it as "bacterial SSU rRNA". It matches the Rfam family "Bacterial small subunit ribosomal RNA", at positions 88 to 785 of the family's 1533-position model. The record is from RNAcentral. Lineage: Bacteria; Pseudomonadati; Pseudomonadota; Betaproteobacteria; Burkholderiales; Burkholderiaceae.
GUGGCGAGUGGCGAACGGGUGAGUAAUACAUCGGAACGUGCCCUGUCGUGGGGGAUAACUAGUCGAAAGAUUAGCUAAUACCGCAUACGACCUGAGGGUGAAAGCGGGGGACCGCAAGGCCUCGCGCGAUAGGAGCGGCCGAUGUCUGAUUAGCUAGUUGGUGGGGUAAAGGCCCACCAAGGCGACGAUCAGUAGCUGGUCUGAGAGGACGAUCAGCCACACUGGGACUGAGACACGGCCCAGACUCCUACGGGAGGCAGCAGUGGGGAAUUUUGGACAAUGGGGGCAACCCUGAUCCAGCAAUGCCGCGUGUGUGAAGAAGGCCUUCGGGUUGUAAAGCACUUUUGUCCGGAAAGAAAUCCCUUGCUCUAAUAAAGCGGGGGGAUGACGGUACCGGAAGAAUAAGCACCGGCUAACUACGUGCCAGCAGCCGCGGUAAUACGUAGGGUGCGAGCGUUAAUCGGAAUUACUGGGCGUAAAGCGUGCGCAGGCGGUUUUGUAAGACAGGCGUGAAAUCCCCGAGCUCAACUUGGGAAUGGCGCUUGUGACUGCAAGGCUAGAGUAUGUCAGAGGGGGGUAGAAUUCCACGUGUAGCAGUGAAAUGCGUAGAGAUGUGGAGGAAUACCGAUGGCGAAGGCAGCCCCCUGGGACGUCACUGACGCUCAUGCACGAAAGCGUGGGGAGCAAACAGGAUUAGAUAC